GUCUCUAAUCGACCAUCUCCUCCAUUUUAGGGUUCUUCAUCAAAAAUUAAUUGAUCGGCAGUUUCAAGUUCAUCAUCUCUGUAAUCGAUCGGCCAUCUCCUCCAUUUUUUUUGUGUUUUUAUCAAAUAAAAGAAGACAGAAGAUAGAAGAUUAAAGGGCGACGACGAAGAACACUCUUUACCGUCAUCAUCGUCUUCGUCGGAACGGCGAGCAACCAAGGGUUGCGAAACCAAAGAAAAAAACGGAAAAGACGAGCGGGUUGAAAAAGAACUAAACGAGGUUGCAUCUACAAAUGCGCUGAAGAUCUAUACAUAAUGCUGUAUACAGGGGAAAAUGAUGUUUGAAACUGAAGUUGGAACCGGGUUGCUGCAUUUGUAUACGAAAGAUCUACAACCUAGUAUGCUUAUUGGUCUUGCGAUUGUCAAUUUUUUUGCUUCUAUGCUAAAUUAUGAGGAGGUUAAGAGAACGUGAUGAACACAACCCUGCCUUUUCUGCCAUACAGAUUGCUUUCUAAGUACUAGGCUAUGACGAAGUAAAGCGAAGUGGACGCUACUACGGAAAAAAUAUGUUAUGCAGCUAGGGACAUCAAUGAUAGAAUAAUGGCAGUAGCAGAAGAAUAUGAUAAGGCUACGAAGUCUUUUGUUACCUAGAUUUAUUUUUCUAUUUUGGUACAUGAAACUUGUUUAGAAAAUGCUGGUUUUUUAGUUUAGAAGUUGUUAGACUUUUGUUUAUAUUGCUGGUACUUUGUUUUAGAGGAUUUAACUAAAUGUUUUGUUUUGGUUAAGUAUCUUUUUGUUUAUGUAUUGUUUGUGUACUU
This 817-nucleotide long non-coding RNA is filed under the name Helianthus annuus (common sunflower). Its description in RNAcentral is "hypothetical non coding rna". Lineage: Eukaryota; Viridiplantae; Streptophyta; Magnoliopsida; Asterales; Asteraceae. The record is from RNAcentral.